This 46-nucleotide non-coding RNA is filed under the name Schistosoma curassoni. The record is from RNAcentral. Lineage: Eukaryota; Metazoa; Platyhelminthes; Trematoda; Strigeidida; Schistosomatidae.
ACCCAACUGACGAGUCCUAAAAUAGGACGAAACGCGAAUGCUGGAU